Non-coding RNA from Mycena rebaudengoi, 95 nucleotides. NCBI's taxonomy places the organism in Eukaryota, Fungi, Basidiomycota, Agaricomycetes, Agaricales, Mycenaceae. The record is from the annotation of a GenBank genome assembly.
GACCCAGUGGUGUAGUGGAAACGCACCUGUGGAAACUAAGGUUGCAGUCAUUGUAAAUUCUGUAGGAAUCCCCUGUCCAACUCAGGGCUGGGUCU